GCAGUAGCCACGGGAAUACAGAGGGUGCAAGCGUUAAUCGGAAUUACUGGGCGUAAAGCGCGCGCAGGCGGUUAUAUAAGACAGAUGUGAAAUCCCCGGGCUCAACCCGGGACCUGCAUUUGUGACUGUAUAGCUAGAGUACGGUAGAGGGGGAUGGAAUUCCGCGUGUAGCAGUGAAAUGCGUAGAUAUGCGGAGGAACACCGACGGCGAAGGCGGCGACCUGGUCCUCGACUGACGCUGAGGCGCGAAAGCGUGGGGAGCAAACAGGAUUAGAUACCCCUGUAGUCCCUGUCUCUUAUAC
Molecule: ribosomal RNA, 302 nt
Filed under: uncultured bacterium
Lineage: Bacteria
Description: partial 16S ribosomal RNA
Rfam family: Bacterial small subunit ribosomal RNA
Source: RNAcentral